Small nuclear RNA from Sorex fumeus (smoky shrew), 164 nucleotides. RefSeq annotates it as U1 spliceosomal RNA. The transcript has a single exon. The record is from RefSeq and is a predicted model, not a curated record. Lineage: Eukaryota; Metazoa; Chordata; Mammalia; Eulipotyphla; Soricidae.
UUAUUUACCUGGCAGAGGAGAUACCAUGAUCCCGAAGGUGGUUUUCCCAGAAUGAGGCUUAUUCAUUGUACCCCAGAUGUGCUGACCCCUGCGAUUUCUCCACAUGUGGGAAAAUUGACUGCAUAAUUUGUGGUAGUGGGGGACUGCGCUUGCACUCUCCCAUG